UCUUAUUUUCAUGUCAGAAAC
RNAcentral lists this non-coding RNA (21 nucleotides) under Caenorhabditis elegans. Lineage: Eukaryota; Metazoa; Nematoda; Chromadorea; Rhabditida; Rhabditidae. The record is from RNAcentral.